GCAGUGAAAAAAAAAAAUCAAAGGAAGUAGGUGAAAUGUGAUCGUGAUUGAUAAAAUUCGAAAUUCAUACAAACAUAGUCCCGAUUCAGAAACACAAGUUUUACUUUUAGCUACAAGUUUUACUUAAAUUCCUAAAGCCCCUUUAUUUAAACCUACCAGCAAAUACUACUCAUUGCUCACCAAUCACCAUCAUAUGGCUGCUGGUUUUUCGUCGGAGGCGACAGCAUCAAACGGAGAUUCUUCGCGAGCAGACUCAUCCUUCACAUCGUCUGGAUCGCGGUCGGGGUCGGACUUGUCCAUGGCCGCACGAGCCUUGUCCAGAAAGGGCUUGAAAGCCAUCUCAAUCGCCAGCCAUCCGAAUGCUAGAGCUCCAAAAACGACUAUCGCUUGUUUCAUCGGCUUCGUUCCCAUCUUCAAAUGGUCUCUCUAUUCCGCCGCUUCGUCCACCUCCUGCACUUCUUUUUCUAGCUUUCGAUGCAAGAACGCUUACACAGUUGCGCCCCACUUUAGGAAGUGGGCCGCGAAUUUAUAUAUGCCAUGGGGUACCGAUAACAUAGAACCCGCGUGACAAAGAUCCGCGUGCACCAAGUUAUUUGUUGGUCACGCGAAUUGACAGCCAAUAUUGGCUUAUAGAUCAGAAAUAUUAUUGUCUAAAGAACCAACAUAUGUUAUCGUUUGCAAG
This 682-nucleotide unclassified non-coding RNA is filed under the name Hevea brasiliensis (rubber tree). Lineage: Eukaryota; Viridiplantae; Streptophyta; Magnoliopsida; Malpighiales; Euphorbiaceae. The record is from RNAcentral.